Molecule: ribosomal RNA, 458 nt
Filed under: uncultured bacterium
Lineage: Bacteria
Description: bacterial SSU rRNA
Rfam family: Bacterial small subunit ribosomal RNA
Source: RNAcentral
UGGGGAAUAUUGGACAAUGGGCGAAAGCCUGAUCCAGCCAUGCCGCGUGUGUGAAGAAGGUCUUCGGAUUGUAAAGCACUUUAAGUUGGGAGGAAGGGCAGUUACCUAAUACGUGAUUGUUUUGACGUUACCGACAGAAUAAGCACCGGCUAACUCUGUGCCAGCAGCCGCGGUAAUACAGAGGGUGCAAGCGUUAAUCGGAAUUACUGGGCGUAAAGCGCGCGUAGGUGGUUUGUUAAGUUGGAUGUGAAAUCCCCGGGCUCAACCUGGGAACUGCAUUCAAAACUGACAAGCUAGAGUAUGGUAGAGGGUGGUGGAAUUUCCUGUGUAGCGGUGAAAUGCGUAGAUAUAGGAAGGAACACCAGUGGCGAAGGCGACACCUGGACUGAUACUGACACUGAGGUGCGAAAGCGUGGGGAGCAAACAGGAUUAGAUACCCAAGUAGUCCCUGAGCGGGC